This 375-nucleotide ribosomal RNA is filed under the name uncultured bacterium. Its description in RNAcentral is "bacterial SSU rRNA". It matches the Rfam family "Bacterial small subunit ribosomal RNA", at positions 28 to 404 of the family's 1533-position model. The record is from RNAcentral.
GACGAACGCUGGCGGCGUGCUUAACACAUGCAAGUCGAGCGGUAAGGCCCUUUCGGGGGUACACGAGCGGCGAACGGGUGAGUAACACGUGGGUGACCUGCCCUUAGCUCUGGGAUAAGCCUGGGAAACUGGGUCUAAUACCGGAUAUGACCUCAUGACUCAUGUUGUGGGGUGGAAAGCCUUGUGCGGCUAGGGAUGGGCCCGCGGCCUAUCAGCUUGUUGGUGGGGUAAUUGCCUACCGAGGCGACGACGGGUAGCCGGCCUGAGAGGGCGACCGGCCACACUGGGACUGAGACACGGCCCAGACUCCUACGGGAGGCAGCAGUGGGGAAUAUUGCGCAAUGGGCGAAAGCCUGACGCAGCGACGCCGCGUGA